This 301-nucleotide ribosomal RNA is filed under the name uncultured bacterium. RNAcentral describes it as "partial 16S ribosomal RNA". It matches the Rfam family "Bacterial small subunit ribosomal RNA", at positions 509 to 808 of the family's 1533-position model. The record is from RNAcentral.
CAGAGCCGCGGGAAUACAGAGGGUGCAAGCGUUAAUCGGAUUUACUGGGCGUAAAGGGCGCGUAGGUGGUUAUUUAAGUGAGAUGUGAAAUCCCCGGGCUUAACCUGGGAACUGCAUCUUAUACUGGGUAACUGGAGUGCAGUAGAGGGUAGUGGAAUUUCCGGUGUAGCGGUGAAAUGCGUAGAUAUCGGAAAGAACACCAACGGCGAAAGCACUCUGCUGGGCCGACACUGACACUGAGAGACGAAAGCUAGGGGAGCAAAUGGGAUUAGAUACCCGCGUAGUCCCUGUCUCUUAUACA